UUACAUGUGAUCUAUAGCGUGCAGCAUC
Molecule: small RNA, 28 nt
Filed under: Bombyx mori (domestic silkworm)
Lineage: Eukaryota; Metazoa; Arthropoda; Insecta; Lepidoptera; Bombycidae
Description: ovarian small RNA-36453
Source: RNAcentral